Molecule: ribosomal RNA, 693 nt
Filed under: uncultured bacterium
Lineage: Bacteria
Description: bacterial SSU rRNA
Rfam family: Bacterial small subunit ribosomal RNA
Source: RNAcentral
AACGCUAGCUACAGGCUUAACACAUGCAAGUCGAGGGGCAGCAUGAUUGAAGCUUGCUUCAAUUGAUGGCGACCGGCGCACGGGUGAGUAACACGUAUCCAACCUGCCGAUAACUCGGGGAUAGCCUUUCGAAAGAAAGAUUAAUACCCGAUAGUAUAGUAUUUCCGCAUGGUUUCACUAUUAAAGAAUUUCGGUUAUCGAUGGGGAUGCGUUCCAUUAGAUAGUUGGCGGGGUAACGGCCCACCAAGUCAACGAUGGAUAGGGGUUCUGAGAGGAAGGUCCCCCACAUUGGAACUGAGACACGGUCCAAACUCCUACGGGAGGCAGCAGUGAGGAAUAUUGGUCAAUGGGCGAGAGUCUGAACCAGCCAAGUAGCGUGAAGGAUGACUGCCCUAUGGGUUGUAAACUUCUUUUAUACGGGAAUAAAGUGGAGUAUGCAUACUCCUUUGUAUGUACCGUAUGAAUAAGGAUCGGCUAACUCCGUGCCAGCAGCCGCGGUAAUACGGAGGAUCCGAGCGUUAUCCGGAUUUAUUGGGUUUAAAGGGAGCGUAGGCGGGUGCUUAAGUCAGUUGUGAAAGUUUGCGGCUCAACCGUAAAAUUGCAGUUGAUACUGGGCGCCUUGAGUGCAGCAUAGGUAGGCGGAAUUCGUGGUGUAGCGGUGAAAUGCUUAGAUAUCACGAAGAACUCCGAUUG